Molecule: long non-coding RNA, 2428 nt
Filed under: Capsicum annuum
Lineage: Eukaryota; Viridiplantae; Streptophyta; Magnoliopsida; Solanales; Solanaceae
Description: long non-coding RNA (CANN_LNC003673)
Source: RNAcentral
AACUUUUGCUAGGUUCUACUGUUCUCCUAUACAUCCUUGACUCUCUAUCAACAGAUAAAAAGAAUGAGAACAAGUCAGUUGCUGUUGAGGACUUUCUUCCUGCUGGAUAUGAUACUUAAGUUACUUCAACGACCAGAAUCUUCUUAUCUGGCUGUUCUUGUCAACGUUUCACUGAGGUAGUGCGUAUGAAGUUUUCGCACUUUCCAAAAGAUCCUUUAUUAAGUGAUAGCACUUAUUGAAUGUAGCAAGGUAUAUAUGGGUACUGAUCUAUCUUCUUGUAUAUCUAGUCAUUUGUGAUCUUUAAAUUAGCUGCCGCUCUCUACUGGAAAAAUAUAAGAGAAGUUGGUAGUUGUCUUGUACAUGAAAAGAAUUCAAAUGAUAUCAUCCUACCUUUUAUCUCAGGGGCUUGGACACCCAUUAUAUCAUUGUGAUAGCUGUUAUUAUCUACUUGGCGAUAGUCCCAAGUACUACACCGAUGGCGUUAAGCUUCACCCAAACUAAAAUCUUACAACUUAUGUGACAGGUGGUUGAAAUACCCAAAGGCAGCAAAGUGAAGUAUGAGCUUGACAAAGCAAGUGGCCUUAUAAAGGUGCUAUCUUGACCAGUGAUCUUUAUUUCAAUUCUACAACUUUUCUGAAUUCAUUGAGAGUUUUCACUGUUAUGAUAAUUAUUCAAGUCAAUUGCUGAACUUGUGUCUAAAAGGUUGACCGCAUACUGUACUCAUCAGUUGUUUAUCCACACAACUAUGGUUUCAUCCCAAGAACCCUUUGUGAAGACAGUGAUCCAAUGGAUGUCCUAGUGCUGAUGCAGGUUUGCUCCGUUUACACACAAUAUACAUGCACGUACACACACACAUCUUCCUUAGGCCCAAUCUUGCAUUAGCUGUCUCAAUGUAAGCUCUCUCUUGGGUACUCUUACAUCCAUCCAUAUGUUGUAUAGGAACCUGUGUUACCUAGUACCUUUCUUCGUGCUCGUGCAAUUGGAUUGAUGCCUAUGAUUGAUCAGGUAAGGUUUUUCAAUAGAGUAAACUUUCUGCCAACUGUACUUUAGGACAUGGUGAAAAUUGCUGGAGAAAACACCAUUUGCUUAUAAUUUUUUGAAAUAGUUCUUUUUGUUUCCUUAAGUUUUAUCAAAGACCUAUUUUUAACCUUGAGUGCCCUAUAAUACUUGAUAAGAAUAUCAUUGAUCAGUUUUUCCCCGUCAACUUUGAUGGGGUUGAUAAUUUCUCAUCAUCAAAGUUGAUACAAAAACUACGAGAGGGAACAAUGAAUCCGGAGAAAAAUUUUAAUAGGCACAGACCAAAUAACUUGGUUGGGUGCGACAUUGUGGCACCAUAGUUAUAUAUCCCUUUUAUGUGAGUGCAUUACAACAUCUGUAAUGUAAUGCUAGUCCUUAAGCAAAACAUGGAAUUAUGGAUUGAUGUUAAUGUUCUGUUACAGGGUGAGAAAGAUGAUAAGAUAAUAGCAGUGUGUGCAGAUGAUCCCGAGUUUCGCCACUACACAGACAUCAAGGAGCUUCCUCCUCAUCGUCUUGCUGAAAUCCGGCGCUUUUUUGAAGACUGUAUCCUCUGAUAUGACAUUUGGCGGUGUAUUAAAUAAAGAAGGAAAUACUCCAUGUUCAUCCUGAUAGGUUUCUGAGGCUGCUGGAUGUGUAUGGAGAUUCUGGCUUCAUAUAUUUCCCCAAUGGGUGUCCAUUGCCAGUUCUUAUGCAUGUCAAGAAUAUAUUUGAGUAAACCAAUGUCUGCAAAUCAUAGCUUUUGUCAACUUUUGCUAGGUUCUACUGUUCUCCUAUACAUCCUUGACUCUCUAUCAACAGAUAAAAAGAAUGAGAACAAGUCAGAUGUUGUUGAGGACUUUCUUUCUGCUGAAGCAACUGUUGAUGCCAUCAAGUAUUCCAUGGACCUAUAUGCUCCAUUUGAUGGGAUUGUUUAUAUUCUUUGUAUUUCCAGAAAGCCUAACUAAAAAGUUCCGCCUCCAUGGUUGUGAUCACAGGGACCUGUAUGCUUCUUACAUUGUGGAAAGUUUGAGGCAGUGAUCUUGUUGAGGACUUGCUGUAGUCAAUAUUGGAAAUUUAAGAAGAGAAGCCGGUUAACUUGUUGAAGAUGGCUCUCCGAACUUCAUAUGCUUACUUUAGUUUUAAUGUGGUAUUAUGGGAUAUUUGAGAUAUAUGUAGAACUUCUAAUUUUCAUGAACUCAAAAUAGUUUUUGGAAAAGAAGCAUUGGGAAAAAAUCACAGGUGAUGUGCGCUUGAUGGUGCUGUAGAAAUGAUGCUUGCCCAUCGUCUGUUAAGAUUCCAAUGGACAAUAUUAGCUAUCUUGUUUUGAUUUGGUUUGGUUUCUGUUGCUCUCUUUCUGGCUAUUGCUAACAUCUCAAGUCAACCUCUAAGUUCUAGUCAGGUAGUAGGAACUGCUGAUACCUUUAUAAGAAAC